CCUACGGGAGGCAGCAGUGGGGAAUAUUGCACAAUGGGGGAAACCCUGAUGCAGCGACGCCGCGUGAGUGAAGAAGUAUUUCGGUAUGUAAAGCUCUAUCAGCAGGGAAGAAACCCACCCUCCGGGGUGGCUGACGGUACCUGACUAAGAAGCCCCGGCUAACUACGUGCCAGCAGCCGCGGUAAUACGUAGGGGGCAAGCGUUAUCCGGAUUUACUGGGUGUAAAGGGGGCGCAGACGGCAAUGCAAGCCAGGAGGGAAAGCCCGGGGCCCAACCCCGGGACUGCUCUUGGAACUGCAUGGAGGGAGUACAGGAGGGGCAGGAGGAAUUCCUAGUGUAGCGGUGAAAUGCGUAGAUAUUAGGAGGAACACCGGUGGCGAAGGCGGCCUGCUGGACUGUGACUGACGUUGAGGCCCGAAGGCGUGGGGAGCAAACAGGAUUAGAUACCCCAGUAGUC
This 457-nucleotide ribosomal RNA is filed under the name uncultured bacterium. Its description in RNAcentral is "partial 16S ribosomal RNA". It matches the Rfam family "Bacterial small subunit ribosomal RNA", at positions 338 to 795 of the family's 1533-position model. The record is from RNAcentral.